Molecule: non-coding RNA, 74 nt
Organism: Gymnothorax javanicus (giant moray)
Lineage: Eukaryota; Metazoa; Chordata; Actinopteri; Anguilliformes; Muraenidae
Source: the annotation of a GenBank genome assembly
GGUGGCAUGGCUCAGGAGGUAGAGCAGGUGGUUUAGGAAUCAGACGGUUCCUGGUUCGAUCCCCGGUUCCUCCA